AUUUCUAUAUUUACAUAUAGGUCCUCUGAUUUAUAAAUAAAUCUUUAUUAAUAAUUUUCAAAAGUGAGGGAUAUUACACUCUCCCCCCCCCCCCCCCCAAAAGAAAAUUUAGUCCUCUAAAUUGGUAAUAGCUCAAUCGAUGAAAAGAUGAGGAUUAUGAUUUCUUUAUUUCCUCCUCCUACUCUCAAAUAAUUUUAUCAAUACAAUACAAUUACACAAUUUUCCAAAAG
This 230-nucleotide long non-coding RNA is filed under the name Musa acuminata (dwarf banana). RNAcentral describes it as "long non-coding RNA (MACU_LNC010929)". The record is from RNAcentral. Lineage: Eukaryota; Viridiplantae; Streptophyta; Magnoliopsida; Zingiberales; Musaceae.